UUGCUCUCUUGGGCAGCACAUAUACUGAAAUGGGAACAAUACAGAGAAGAUUAUAAUAGCCCUGCACAAGGAUGACGUGCAAAUUCAUGAAGUGCUACAUAUUUUU
Small nuclear RNA from Nannospalax galili (Upper Galilee mountains blind mole rat), 106 nucleotides. The record is from Ensembl. NCBI's taxonomy places the organism in Eukaryota, Metazoa, Chordata, Mammalia, Rodentia, Spalacidae.